AUGCCAUGAUAAGGACACUUUCGUAAUAAAUCCUUGAACUGCUCGCAUGUCUCAUAUAGAGAUUCUUCAUGAAAUUGUUGAAAUAAAGUGAUUCCAUUUUGGAGCUU
Non-coding RNA from Gossypium hirsutum (cotton), 107 nucleotides. The record is from Rfam. Lineage: Eukaryota; Viridiplantae; Streptophyta; Magnoliopsida; Malvales; Malvaceae.